Molecule: long non-coding RNA, 2038 nt
Filed under: Homo sapiens (human)
Lineage: Eukaryota; Metazoa; Chordata; Mammalia; Primates; Hominidae
Description: non-protein coding lnc-LGALS9B-14:1
Source: RNAcentral
CACUAAACUCGAGGCCUGGGUCACUUCUCCCCUGAAGAAGAAAGACUACUCUUUAAUUCCCAAGGCCAGCCACUGUGGUUUGAGCAUGUGCAACAGCCUGUGCUCGGGUUGAUGCCCCACAUUCCCAUGGUUAUCCAAAAGAGGCCCUCAGACUCACAGUGGCCAUUAUUAAUACUCUGAGGUUCAGCAGCGGUGGCAACUGAAAAUCUACAAGCAUCAGAAGAAAGAAGUGCUGCAGAGGGGAACCACAACCAUCACAAACCUGGAAGGCUGGGUGGGCCACCCCCUGGAUCCCAUCGGCUGCCUGUUUCUCACUUUGACUGAGGCCUGCCUCCUGAAUGAUGACAGGUAUCUAGAUACGAAUGAAAGCAGACCCCCUGUGUACCAACAUGUACCUGUGGCUGUAAGCUCCCCAAACAGCAGUGAGUCCUACUUGUCAUUGGCCCUGGAGGCUGCAUCGAUGGGCCUGGGUCACAGAGGGUAAUGCCUGAAGGCUCCUAUGCACAGGACAAGGUGUGCCGUAAUGAGGAGCAGCUCCUCAGCCACCUCCAAGAGCUGCAAUUGGAUGAUGACCCAGUGCAAACACUCCAAAAAUAGUGCAUCUUGCUGCUGGAAGGGGACCCUUUCAGGGAUCUGGGAGAAGUCAUCCACCGAGAGAGCGUUUCCAUGCAUACCUCUGCCAAGUAUUUGUUCUCAGCUCUGCUGUCUCGUGAUCCAGACCCUGCCUAUAAAUUAGGCUUACGUGUAUAAGGUUACCCGUUUUAGAAAAUUCAGGUUGUGCAGGCGACACAUCCCUCACUCACUGUAUGGUGUCCCCGGUGCCCAGCCAUUAUCCUCCCUGGUUCUUGCUUGGACACUUGGAAUCACAGCGGUGGGAACUGGCCUCCACCAUGCUGACUGCUGCCAAAGGAGACACUUUGAGGCUCUGAACAAUUCUGGAAGCAAUGCAGAAGCACAUUCGUUCUUCCCCCCUCAUCUUCAAACUGGCCCAAAAUGCGUUCAGGAUUGCUACUCCCACUAACAGUACUGACAGCACCCUGCUCAACGUGGCCCUGGAACCUGGGUUACAGGUGAUGCGAUGACCUUAUCAUCCCUUAACUGGAGACGCGGAGAGAUGGUAUGAUGGUUGGUGACCUGUGCUACAGAAGUGGGUAUCGCCCACCUCCCUCUACUCCCACGGGAAAGGAGUGUGUGGGCCUCAGGGAGCAUCUUGCAGAGCUGGCACACACUCUUCACCCCUACUGAGGCUGCUAGCAUUGUAGCUGCCACAGCCGUAUCCCACACCACUAUCCUGCGCCUCAGUCUUGACUAUCCACAGCGGGAGGAAUUGGCCAGCUGUGCUUGCACACUGGCCCUGCAGUGUGCUACGAAGCAUCCACAGAGCUGUGCCCUGUCAGCCCUUACACUCUGUGAGAAAGACCACAUUGCCUUUGAGGCAGCCUGCCAGAUUGCCACCGAGGCUGCUGCCGGUGGCAUGACCCAUUCACAGCUGUUCACCAUUGCCUGCUACGUGGAGCUCCAGGGCUACACGCUCCACGCCUUCAAGCUGGUCUCAUUGGCCAUGAGCCAUCUUCACCUGGCUCAUAACCAGGAUACCCACCCAGCCAUCAGUGAUGUGCUCUGGGUUUGUGCCCUCAGCCACUCUCUGGGCAAGAAUGAGCUGGCAGUUCUCAUCCCCCUGGUGGUGAAGAGUGCGCACAUUGCCAUGGUGCUUUCAGACAUCCUGUGUGCGAGGCUGCACGGUGACUGCACCUGGCCUGGCCGGCACCCCGGGCCACCACAGCUCUGGAAAGCUCAUCUCCACUGACAGAGCUCCAUGGCACCAGUUGCUGAUGCAAUGCUUACAUCAACACCACACACUACACCUAACACACAUUAGCCAUUGCCAGUAUGGACAGUUCAUUGAGUUUCUAAGCAAGGCUCGGGAGACCCUCCUGCUGCCUUAGGAUGGCUACCUGCAAUUUGCCCUGUUCAUCAACAACCACAAACGAUCUACAAAGGCAAGAAAAAGCUGAUGCUGCUGGUUCGAGAGCCCUUU